AUGACGGUGUAUUUUGGAAUGCUCGACGGCUUGCUGGCUGCAGAAGGGCUUCCUGAGGAAUACCAGAACCGAUGCCAGAUAUACUUUGUAACGACUGCGGAAGAAAAGGGCUUUCUCGGUUCCACUGGCUGUAUCAUAAAUGCCCCGCCUGUGGCUUGUACAACACCAGAGUUAUCAAGACCGAGGCACCAAAUUGUUCCAUGUAGAAUUAACAGGUCCGCCGAUGAGGAUGUGGAUGAGGACGAGGUCGAGCCCCCUCCCGCCGCGAUCUCCUUUUGGAGGCUAUUCAACUUCGCCGACGGCCUCGGCUGGGCACUCAUGGACGCUGGCACAGUCGCCGCCGCCGCCCACGACGCAGCAUUCAUAGUCUACCUGCACUAA
This 381-nucleotide ribosomal RNA is filed under the name Triticum aestivum (bread wheat). Its description in RNAcentral is "partial small subunit ribosomal RNA". Lineage: Eukaryota; Viridiplantae; Streptophyta; Magnoliopsida; Poales; Poaceae. The record is from RNAcentral.